Molecule: long non-coding RNA, 1428 nt
Organism: Musca domestica (house fly)
Lineage: Eukaryota; Metazoa; Arthropoda; Insecta; Diptera; Muscidae
Exons: 7
Source: RefSeq, a predicted model, not a curated record
AUGGCAACGCCAUCCAUUUCCUUCUUGUCAUUUUCUUUUUCAUUUCGCCUGAUGCGCAACAGCAUCUAACUUUAAAAUUUUAUUUUUCUGAAUCGGGUCUCUGAGCUAUUUCUCUUUUCAAAGAAAUAGCUACUGGGGUAAGCCAUGUAGCCUACACGCCCCCUGAUGGCCCACCCGACGCAACAAAACUUCGACCCUUUGCUGAGUUAAUUUUGCAAAGGUCGAUGUGCGGAAGGUUUUAUUAUUCCACGUGGGGAACUCCCACAGCCCUGAAGUCUCAUGGCCGGGCAUUUCUGGAACUUCAAUGACGUGUUUGCCGACAUAAUUGAAAAAUUCCAGAUUACACCUGAAUUAUUUGGAGAAUUUUUUUUGAUUUGAAGCACCCGAACAAUAUUUAAGGAGACUGUGAGUUACUCGGUUCGACUGGGAUAUGAGUAAAGUUCCUUAACAUGGAUUUCUUCAGUGUCAUUUGGCAGAAUUUGUAGUGUGCAGAAAGUGAAAUGCGUACGUUCUACCAAACUUGUGUGGUUAUUGUUUGGCCGUGAGUGAGCUGUGGUGAUUCCUUUUUAAUUUUUGGGUAAAAUCCCCAUUUGGGCUACACCAACCAUCAUUGAAUGGUGUAUGGUGUAUUCAAUGAUUUUAUUCAGCCCUCCAACCACUACGUACUCCUUUGGGUUUAUGAAAUUAUACUGCUGAGUCGGGGGUCAUAUUAUUGUUAUUGUCCGGUCAUUAAAAAUUAGUUAUACUGCGCUUACUUAUUUUUGAACAAAUUCCUGCCUAACAUGAACUUGUUUUGCUCCAAAUCUUUCGGAAUUGUGUGUUUAUAUGGAUAAAAGCAUGGUAUUCGUAAAAUAGAAAACUAACUAUCGCGCAAUAAAGCGUCUGUCCCUGGUGUAAGUGGAAAACCACGUCCCAGAACAAAACAUGAGGUGGCUAAUAUGGGAUCAAUCUGCGGUGGAAGUGUUGAUUUUAUAUUUAUUUUUCCCCCAUCGAAAUUUUAUCCAUGUGAAGGAGUUAUUUUACCAUGAUAUGUACAGUUGCAAUUCCCUGGAUAUUCUUCCGUGCUCCAAAACAUGGAUAAAGAAAAAGGGUGUCUAUUACCUGGUCAUUAAUUACGUGGCAAAAUAUUAAUUUUUAUGCCAUAGGAGAUGACAACUUGCGAUCAACAAAAAAUCUCCAACUUGUGGCCAUCCGAUCAAUUUUGACCCAAAUUCCGCUGCCUCAGAUACGGACACCAAACAGAAGUAUGACACCAAACAGGGAGACCUUCAAAUUCAACGGCCAAUUUAAACCCAAGGACCGGGCAUUUAACACCAGAUCCCCACUCAGCAGUCAGUGGAGACCAAAAAAAAUAUUGUGAUUUUGGGGAACCUUUAUAUAUAAAAAAAAAAUACAAAAAUAAAAAUGUUGUUUGCUUUCCCACUGUCA